This 253-nucleotide ribosomal RNA is filed under the name uncultured bacterium. RNAcentral describes it as "partial 16S ribosomal RNA". It matches the Rfam family "Bacterial small subunit ribosomal RNA", at positions 524 to 776 of the family's 1533-position model. The record is from RNAcentral.
UACAGAGGGUGCAAGCGUUAAUCGGAAUUACUGGGCGUAAAGCGUGCGUAGACGGUUAUUUAAGUCAGGUGUGAAAGCCCCGGGCUCAACCUGGGAAUUGCAUUUGAGACUGAAUAGCUAGGGUGCGGAAGAGGGAAGCGGAAUUUCCGGUGUAGCGGUGAAAUGCGUAGAUAUCGGAAGGAACACCAGUGGCGAAAGCGGCUUCCUGGUCCAGCACCGACGUUCAGGCACGAAAGCGUGGGGAGCGAUCCGG